RNAcentral lists this ribosomal RNA (300 nucleotides) under uncultured bacterium. RNAcentral's name for it is "bacterial SSU rRNA". It matches the Rfam family "Bacterial small subunit ribosomal RNA", at positions 138 to 438 of the family's 1533-position model. The record is from RNAcentral.
GGGGGAUAACAGUUGGAAACGACUGCUAAUACCGCAUAAGCGCACAGGAUCGCAUGAUCCGGUGUGAAAAACUCCGGUGGUAUGGGAUGGACCCGCGUCUGAUUAGCCAGUUGGCAGGGUAACGGCCUACCAAAGCGACGAUCAGUAGCCGACCUGAGAGGGUGACCGGCCACAUUGGGACUGAGACACGGCCCAAACUCCUACGGGAGGCAGCAGUGGGGAAUAUUGCACAAUGGGGGAAACCCUGAUGCAGCGACGCCGCGUGAGCGAAGAAGUAUUUCGGUAUGUAAAGCUCUAUCA